RNAcentral lists this ribosomal RNA (758 nucleotides) under uncultured Actinomycetes bacterium. RNAcentral describes it as "bacterial SSU rRNA". It matches the Rfam family "Bacterial small subunit ribosomal RNA", at positions 28 to 774 of the family's 1533-position model. Lineage: Bacteria; Bacillati; Actinomycetota; Actinomycetes. The record is from RNAcentral.
GACAAACGCUGGCGGCGUGCCUAACACAUGCAAGUCGAGCGUGAAAGGGGCUUCGGCCCUGAGUAAAGCGGCGAACGGGUGAGUAACACGUGGGUAACCUGCCCCAGGGACUGGGAUAACCCCGGGAAACCGGGGCUAAUACCGGACGAUGUUGUCCCACACAAGUGGGCCAACCAAAGGUAGCUUCGGCCUCCGCCCUGGGAUGGGCCCGCGGCCUAUCAGCUAGUUGGUAGGGUAACGGCCUACCAAGGCUACGACGGGUAGCUGGUCUGAGAGGAUGAUCAGCCACACUGGGACUGAGAUACGGCCCAGACUCCUACGGGAGGCAGCAGUGGGGAAUCUUGCGCAAUGGGCGAAAGCCUGACGCAGCAACGCCGCGUGGAGGAAGAAGGCCUUCGGGUUGUAAACUCCUGUCAGGGGGAAAGAAGGUACCUGGGUGAAUAGCCCAAGGGCUGACGGUACCCCCAAAGGAAGCCACGGCUAACUACGUGCCAGCAGCCGCGGUAAUACGUAGGUGGCAAGCGUUGUCCGGAAUCAUUGGGCGUAAAGCGCGCGUAGGCGGCUUGCCAGGUCCGAUGUGAAAACCCGGGGCUCAACUCCGGGCCUGCAUCGGAAACCGGCUUGCUAGAGUCUGGGAGAGGAGAGUGGAAUUCCUGGUGUAGCGGUGAAAUGCGUAGAUAUCAGGAGGAACACCGGUAGCGAAGGCGGCUCUCUGGAACAGUACUGACGCUGAGGCGCGAAAGCUAGGGGAGCGAACA